AAGUCGUAACAAGGUUUCCGUAGGUGAACCUGCGGAAGGAUCAUUAACACGUAUCCAAACGUUAAAACCCCCCCCGUGAACCUUCAUCCUGCUCUUGUAACCCGCGUAGUUCGCAAUCUCUGAUAAAUCAUAGCCCGGAAAGUUGUAGUGAUUCAGAGACCUCUGGCUACGUGCGAACAUUGGAACAGUUUUUUUACCUAAUGUAUUACAUUGAGCUUCACAUUAAACUGUGGGGUUAUUAGGGGGCAUGGGGACCCUUUGGCAAAGCUCCUGCCCGAGUGUACGGUCUACAGGCGCUAUCCUUGCACAAUCAAUGACACUUUCCGACACUGACUGCUUGGGGAAACAUUGCCUAUAGAACUACCGCUCGAUUGUAACCGAACAACUGUUAACAAUGGAUAUCUUGGUUCUC
This 412-nucleotide unclassified non-coding RNA is filed under the name fungal sp. RNAcentral describes it as "partial internal transcribed spacer region". The stretch from base 1 to 46 matches the Rfam family "Eukaryotic small subunit ribosomal RNA", at positions 1786 to 1831 of the family's 1831-position model. Lineage: Eukaryota; Fungi. The record is from RNAcentral.